GUGCUCACUGUGGCAGCACAUAUACUUAAAUUGGAAUGAUACAAAGAAGAUUAGCGUGGCCCCUGCUCUAGGAUGACAUGCAAACCGGUGACGCAUUUCAUGUUUUU
This 107-nucleotide small nuclear RNA is filed under the name Moschus moschiferus (Siberian musk deer). The record is from RNAcentral. Lineage: Eukaryota; Metazoa; Chordata; Mammalia; Artiodactyla; Moschidae.